RNAcentral lists this ribosomal RNA (497 nucleotides) under uncultured bacterium. RNAcentral's name for it is "partial 16S ribosomal RNA". It matches the Rfam family "Bacterial small subunit ribosomal RNA", at positions 28 to 507 of the family's 1533-position model. The record is from RNAcentral.
GAUGAACGCUGGCGGCGUGCCUAAUACAUGCAAGUCGAGCGAACAGACGAGGAGCUUGCUCCUCUGACGUUAGCGGCGGACGGGUGAGUAACACGUGGAUAACCUACCUAUAAGACUGGGAUAACUUCGGGAAACCGGAGCUAAUACCGGAUAAUAUAUUGAACCGCAUGGUUCAAUAGUGAAAGACGGUUUUGCUGUCACUUAUAGAUGGAUCCGCGCCGCAGUAGCUAGUUGGUAAGGUAACGGCUUACCAAGGCGACGAUGCGUAGCCGACCUGAGAGGUUGAUCGGCCACACUGGAACUGAGACACGGUCCAGACUCCUACGGGAGGCAGCAGUAGGGAAUCUUCCGCAAUGGGCGAAAGCCUGACGGAGCAACGCCGCGUGAGUGAUGAAGGUCUUCGGAUCGUAAAACUCUGUUAUUAGGGAAGAACAAAUGUGUAAGUAACUAUGCACGUCUUGACGGUACCUAAUCAGAAAGCCACGGCUAACUACGUG